GCUAGGGUAGCCUAGUGGACAUGGCAUCUGCCCGGUAAACGUAACAUUGUGGGUUCGAUUCCCAUCCCUGGACA
This 74-nucleotide transfer RNA is filed under the name Cordylochernes scorpioides. RNAcentral describes it as "tRNA-Thr". It matches the Rfam family "tRNA". From Rfam's summary of the family: Transfer RNA (tRNA) molecules are approximately 80 nucleotides in length. Their secondary structure includes four short double-helical elements and three loops (D, anti-codon, and T loops). Further hydrogen bonds mediate the characteristic L-shaped molecular structure. tRNAs have two regions of fundamental functional importance: the anti-codon, which is responsible for specific mRNA codon recognition, and the 3' end, to which the tRNAs corresponding amino acid is attached (by aminoacyl-tRNA synthetases). tRNAs cope with the degeneracy of the genetic code in two manners: having more than one tRNA (with a specific anti-codon) for a particular amino acid; and 'wobble' base-pairing, i.e. permitting non-standard base-pairing at the 3rd anti-codon position. Lineage: Eukaryota; Metazoa; Arthropoda; Arachnida; Pseudoscorpiones; Chernetidae. The record is from RNAcentral.